CAGCAGCCGCGGUAAUUCCAGCUCCAAUAGCGUAUUGUAAAGUUGUUGCAGUUAAAAAGCUCGUAGUUGGAUUUCGGGCUCGACGGCGACGGUCAGCCGCAAGGUAUGUCACUGUCGACGUUGGCCUUCUUCGCGCAGACUUCGCGUGCUCUUAACUGAGUGUGCGUUGGAUACGCGACGUUUACUUUGAAAAAAUUAGAGUGUUCAAAGCAGGCUUGUGCUUGGAUACAUAAGCAUGGAAUAAUGGAAUAGGACUUUGGUUCUAUUUUCCGUUGGUUUCUGGAACCGAAGUAAUGAUUAAUAGGGACAGUUGGGGGCAUUCGUAUUUCGUUGUCAGAGGUGAAAUUCUUGGAUUUACGAAAGACGAACUAAUGCGAAAGCAUUUGCCAAGAAUGUUUUCAUUAAUCAAGAACGAAAGUUAGAGGAUCGAAGACGAUCAGAUACCGUCCUAGUUCUAACCAUAAACGAUGCCGACUAGGGAUCAGCGAGUGUUAUUUGAUGACCUCGUUGGCACCUUAUGGGAAACCAAAGUUUUUGGGUUCCGGGGGAAGUAUGGUUGCAAAGCUGAAACUUAAAGGAAUUGACGGAAGGGCACCACCAGGAGUGGAGCCUGCGGCUUAAUUUGACUCAACACGGG
RNAcentral lists this ribosomal RNA (637 nucleotides) under Rumphella sp. S2-3. RNAcentral's name for it is "SSU rRNA". It matches the Rfam family "Eukaryotic small subunit ribosomal RNA", at positions 568 to 1209 of the family's 1831-position model. Lineage: Eukaryota; Metazoa; Cnidaria; Anthozoa; Malacalcyonacea; Isididae. RNAcentral also lists the same sequence under 6 other names. The record is from RNAcentral.